GAGUUGUAGCCUCGUGCACGGGAAUAAUGCCCCCCCGCCA
Molecule: transfer RNA, 40 nt
Filed under: Cyrtodactylus malayanus
Lineage: Eukaryota; Metazoa; Chordata; Lepidosauria; Squamata; Gekkonidae
Description: partial tRNA-Tyr
Source: RNAcentral